CGGGAAUCAGAGAUUCCAGGUGGAGAUGAA
This 30-nucleotide non-coding RNA is filed under the name Homo sapiens (human). Lineage: Eukaryota; Metazoa; Chordata; Mammalia; Primates; Hominidae. The record is from RNAcentral.